CUUGAACCCUAUAAGAGGUCCAGCCUGCCCAGUGAAACAAUUCAACGGCCGCGGUAUCCUAACCGUGCGAAGGUAGCGUAAUCACUUGUCCUCUAAAUUAGGACUAGUAUGAACGGCAUCACGAGGGUUAUACUGUCUCCUUUUUCCAAUUAGUGAAUUUAAUUUUCCCGUGAAGAAGCGGGAAUAAGCCUAUAAGACGAGAAGACCCUAUGGAGCUUUAAACAAUCUAGCAUUUGCCUAUAUUCUUCAUGUUUCAGAACUCUCUAGACCUCCUACAUAAUGACUAGAAGUUUUAGGUUGGGGUGACCGCGGAGUAAAACCCAUCCUCCAUAAUGAAAGAAUUUUAAUUCUUAACCAAGAAAUACCUAUCUAAGUAUUAACACACUGACAUUUAUUGACCCAAUACAAUUGAUCAACGAAC
RNAcentral lists this ribosomal RNA (421 nucleotides) under Amazophrynella teko. RNAcentral describes it as "partial large subunit ribosomal RNA". It matches the Rfam family "Bacterial large subunit ribosomal RNA", at positions 1835 to 2457 of the family's 2925-position model. RNAcentral also lists the same sequence under 1 other name. Lineage: Eukaryota; Metazoa; Chordata; Amphibia; Anura; Bufonidae. The record is from RNAcentral.